CUAGAUGCUGCGAUGGGGAAAGGAGGGCAUUGAACACUUCAAUGAACAUUUGCAGCGAAUAGUUCAUAUCAUUAAACUGAGUACUUCCUUGCUAAAACCUAUGAAGGUUUCAGCAGCUGUCACUUAGUAGUCAGUAUUCUGAGAACGCGAGGUGCGUGUUUUAACAUACGCAAAUGGGAGCUAUCUCUUUUUAGCUAAUGCCUGCUUUUUGUGCCUGAGCACAUCCUCCAUUACUAGUCAAUGUCUUGGAAAGCUGCAGUGUUGAAUUCUGCUCUGAGCCAUGGCGGCUCUUCCAAAGCAUGUUUUAACUCCGUAUUUUGCGUGUGUCUUAUUGGUGACUAACAUCGCACUUGCAAGUACUGGGCCGCCUGUUGAAAACGUCGACAUCAAAAAUUCCGAACUUUAUCCACAAGUCGCGGGAGUUGAUGAUGGAGUUCAUUUGCUCCAACCCAGAGGGCUUUUUGAUAGUCUCGGCCUCAGGAGUCUUUUUGGUUCGAUCUUCGGCAACUUGGACAAGAGACAUGGUGGUAGGAGCUCCGGUCUCACCAACUUGAGAAUCCAAAGCUCGGGUGCGGGGUCUUCGCUCGGCGAGUCGUUGCAAGUCAAUUCGCAGACGGGACUCGUCCUGCGCAUGUUUAAGAGUGGAAAUAAUGAGCCGAUCAGAUUCAGGAAUAACAAGGUCUACGAGGGUGAAAAUAUGGUUUGCUCGGACAGGGAGAAGUUCUUUUCGGAACCCAAGUACCAGAAGUCGGUCCGUGGUGGGCGAUGGCAUACCAACAUCCAUGUCGGAGAGCCGAUGAGCCAGCUGGAAAUCGAUCAGUUUGAGGCGGAUUGGGCUGCAGUCUACAAGGAUAAGACAGGAUCCACUGCGGGAAAAAAGGGACAGAACCUGGAAGAGACCAAUUCAAUGAGUCCUCGUGGUACAGCAAGUCUUGCUGCCGCUAAGAAGCUUAUGAGGCGGCGAUCUUCCUGGGGAAGUGAAUCUUCCAGUUGGUGGUAACAUCACGAACGGCCGUGCACCAUAGCCGAAGGGUUUCUAAAAUAUAUUAUCUCCGCAAGAAAUGAUGGCUUUAAAUAGCUGUUGUAGAAUGUCCGUCAAAGUGCGCGAAUGGACCCAAAUUGGUACACACAAAUAUUCCUCUCCUUGUUUCAUUUUCACAUAAAAAUAAUUAAUCAUAGGAAAUUUUGUCAUCGUAAAAUAUAAGCUUUGAAAUCACAAUGAAAUCCUUUUAUGAGCAUCUU
Molecule: long non-coding RNA, 1242 nt
Filed under: Bemisia tabaci
Lineage: Eukaryota; Metazoa; Arthropoda; Insecta; Hemiptera; Aleyrodidae
Description: lncRNA ENSSSA3NGG009114
Source: RNAcentral